Rhineura floridana is the source of this 480-nucleotide long non-coding RNA. RefSeq lists it as uncharacterized. The transcript is spliced from 3 exons. NCBI's taxonomy places the organism in Eukaryota, Metazoa, Chordata, Lepidosauria, Squamata, Rhineuridae. The record is from RefSeq and is a predicted model, not a curated record.
CAGUGACUGGAAUAAAUGUCCUGAGAAAGGUACUUUCAGAGAAUGUUGCAGAGUAGGUGGAAGGCUUCAGAUGACAGGGAAAUAGGAAAAAUCAAGCCUUUGGAAAGUAGAAGAACUUGAGUUGGAUGUACUGGGGGGGUUGUCUAGAGCUAGAGCCUGGAUCACACCACUUGUUCCUCAUGCUCUGCAUCUGGUCCUUUGGAAGAGCCAAUUACAUGCAGACAAGUCAACUCUACCAUUCUGGGAGCACUGCAUUUUUUUCUUGAGGUGCUGAUGGUCCAAGAAAAUACAGAAAAUGGAUUCUUGCAGGUAUGCAGGGGAACUUGGUGUGUAUUGGGCCAUAUGCUAGAGGUAAGCAGUGACAGAACAGCAGUGCUCAGGUACUGCAGUGAGAAGAGGAGUCAUCAUAAUUCCAUUUUAAUGUGAUUUUUGUUUUUAAUAUCAUUCUGGUUUAUGCAUAGUCAAUUCAAUAAAAUGUGA